Molecule: ribosomal RNA, 430 nt
Filed under: uncultured bacterium
Lineage: Bacteria
Description: bacterial SSU rRNA
Rfam family: Bacterial small subunit ribosomal RNA
Source: RNAcentral
UGGGGAAUUGUUCGCAAUGGGCGCAAGCCUGACGACGCAACGCCGCGUGGAGGAUGAAGAUCUUCGGGUCGUAAACUCCUGUCGAGCGGGACGAAUGCUCUGCGGAUGAAUAAGCCGCAGGGGUGACGGUACCGCUAAAGGAAGCCCCGGCUAACUCCGUGCCAGCAGCCGCGGUAAUACGGGGGGGGCAAGCGUUGUUCGGAAUUACUGGGCGUAAAGGGCUCGUAGGUGGCCAAUUAAGUCAGACGUGAAAUCCCCAGGCUCAACUUGGGAACUGCGUCUGAUACUGGUUGGCUUGAAUUCGGGAGAGGGAUGCAGAAUUCCAGGUGUAGCGGUGAAAUGCGUAGAUAUCUGGAGGAAUACCGGUGGCGAAGGCGGCAUCCUGGACCGAGAUUGACACUGAGGAGCGAAAGCCAGGGGAGCAAACGGG